This 214-nucleotide long non-coding RNA is filed under the name Ricinus communis (castor bean). Its description in RNAcentral is "long non-coding RNA (RCOM_LNC000450)". Lineage: Eukaryota; Viridiplantae; Streptophyta; Magnoliopsida; Malpighiales; Euphorbiaceae. The record is from RNAcentral.
UCUUGGAGCUUUGGAUACUUGUCACGGGCUUUGGAUGCUUUGCUUAGUGGAGAAGAAAUGAUUCCACUUGUCUUUGGAGUCUUGUGGAGAUGCUUCACAUGCUUUGGAGUCUUUUGAUAAUGCCAACCGUCUUUUGAGAAAGUUGUCGGCCAUGCUUUGAAGGAAUCUUUUGCUUUUUUUGACUUUUCUUUUUCUUUUGUCUUUUGUCUUUUUC